AGAGUUUGAUCCUGGCUCAGGAUGAACGCCUAGCGGCAGGCUUAACACAUGCAAGUCGAGGGGUAACAGGGAGUAGCAAUACUCCGCUGACGACCGGCGCACGGGUGCGUAACGCGUAUGCAACCUACCUGUAACAGGGGUAUAACGGAGGGAAACUUCCACUAAUCCCCCAUAUUGUUGUGGAUUCGCAUGUUUCCACAACGAAAGCUUUCUGUGGUUACGGAUGGGCAUGCGUGACAUUAGCUAGUUGGUAAGGCAACGGCUUACCAAGGCGACGAUGUCUAGGGGAGCUGAGAGGCUUAUCCCCCACACUGGUACUGAGACACGGACCAGACUCCUACGGGAGGCAGCAGUGAGGAAUAUUGGUCAAUGGACGGAAGUCUGAACCAGCCAUGCCGCGUGGAGGAAGAAGGUCCUAUGGGUUGUAAACUCCUUUUGCUCCAGAGUAAUAAGGCUCCUGCGGGGGUCGAUGAGAGUAUGGGGCGAAUAAGCAUCGGCUAACUCCGUGCCAGCAGCCGCGGUAAUACGGAGGAUGCAAGCGUUAUCCGGAUUUAUUGGGUUUAAGGGGUGCGCAGGCGGACUGUUAAGUCAGCGGUGAAAUCUCAUGGCUCAACCAUGGAACUGCCGUUGAUACUGGCAGACUAGAGUACGGACGGCGCCGGCGGAAUGUGUCAUGUAGCGGUGAAAUGCUUAGAUAUGCCACAGAACACCGAUCGCGAAGGCAGCUGGCGAGGCCGGGGACUGACGCUCAGGCACGAAAGCGUGGGGGUCAAACAGGAUUAGAUACCCUGGUAGUCUACGCAGUAAACGAUGAAGACUUGUUGUCGGCGAUAGAAUGUCGGUGACAAAGCGAAAGCGAUAAGUCUUCCACCUGGGGAGUACGAUCGCAAGGUUGAAACUCAAAGGAAUUGACGGGGGCCCGCACAAGCGGAGGAGCAUGUGGUUUAAUUCGAUGAUACGCGAGGAACCUUACCUGGACUCAAAUGUUGGGCGACCGUUCCAGAAAUGGGACUUCCCUUCGGGGCGCUCAGCAAGGUGCUGCAUGGUUGUCGUCAGCUCGUGCCGUGAGGUGUCAGGUUAAGUCCUAUAACGAGCGCAACCCCUACGUCCAGUUGCCAGCGGGUGAAGCCGGGGACUCUGGACGGACUGCCGGCGCAAGCCGAGAGGAAGGUGGGGAUGACGUCAAAUCAGCACGGCCCUUACGUCCAGGGCGACACACGUGCUACAAUGGCCGGUACAGAGGGCAGCCACCCCGCGAGGGGGAGCGAAUCUCGAAAGCCGGUCUCAGUUCGGAUCGGAGUCUGCAACUCGACUCCGUGAAGUUGGAUUCGCUAGUAAUCGCGCAUCAGCCAUGGCGCGGUGAAUACGUUCCCGGGCCUUGUACACACCGCCCGUCAAGCCAUGAAAGUCCGGGGUACCUGAAGUCCGUGACCGAGAGGAGCGGCCUAGGGUAAAACGGGUAAUUGGGGCUAAGUCGUAACAAGGUAGCCGUACCGGAAGGUGCGGCUGGAUCACCUCCUUUCU
This 1524-nucleotide ribosomal RNA is filed under the name uncultured rumen bacterium. RNAcentral's name for it is "bacterial SSU rRNA". It matches the Rfam family "Bacterial small subunit ribosomal RNA". The record is from RNAcentral.